RNAcentral lists this ribosomal RNA (606 nucleotides) under Hepatozoon felis. Its description in RNAcentral is "bacterial SSU rRNA". It matches the Rfam family "Eukaryotic small subunit ribosomal RNA", at positions 447 to 1046 of the family's 1831-position model. The record is from RNAcentral. Lineage: Eukaryota; Apicomplexa; Hepatozoidae.
AAUUCUAACAGCAUAAGAGAGGUAGUGACAAGAAAUAACAAUACAAGGCAGUUAAAAUGCUUUGUAAUUGGAAUGAUAGAAAUUUAAACACUUUUUAAAGUAUCAAUUGGAGGGCAAGUCUGGUGCCAGCAGCCGCGGUAAUUCCAGCUCCAAUAGCGUAUAUUAAAAUUGUUGCAGUUAAAAAGCUCGUAGUUGAAUUUCUGUUAAAAAUAACCGGUCUGCUUUUAAUAAAAGUGGUAUCUUGGUGUGUUUUUAGCAAUAAUGUCCUUUGAAAUGUUUUUUACUUUAUUGUAAUAAAUAAUAUUCAGGAUUUUUACUUUGAGAAAAUUAGAGUGUUUCUAGCAGGCUAACGCUUUGAAUACUGCAGCAUGGAAUAAUAAGAUAGGAUUUUAGUUCUACAUUAUUGGUUUUAAGAACUAAAUUAAUGAUUGAUAGGGACAGUUGGGGGCAUUUGUAUUUAACUGUCAGAGGUGAAAUUCUUAGAUUUGUUAAAGACAAACUACUGCGAAAGCAUUUGCCAAAGAUGUUUUCAUUAAUCAAGAACGAAAGUUAGGGGAUCGAAGACGAUCAGAUACCGUCGUAGUCUUAACUAUAAACUAUGCCGAC